Molecule: ribosomal RNA, 299 nt
Filed under: Laribacter hongkongensis
Lineage: Bacteria; Pseudomonadati; Pseudomonadota; Betaproteobacteria; Neisseriales; Aquaspirillaceae
Description: partial 16S ribosomal RNA
Rfam family: Bacterial small subunit ribosomal RNA
Source: RNAcentral
CACUGGGACUGAGACACGGCCCAGACUCCUACGGGAGGCAGCAGUGGGGAAUUUUGGACAAUGGGGGCAACCCUGAUCCAGCCAUGCCGCGUGUCUGAAGAAGGCCUUCGGGUUGUAAAGGACUUUUGUCAGGGAGGAAAUCCCUAAGGCUAAUACCCUUGGGGGAUGACAGUACCUGAAGAAUAAGCACCGGCUAACUACGUGCCAGCAGCCGCGGUAAUACGUAGGGUGCAAGCGUUAAUCGGAAUUACUGGGCGUAAAGCGUGCGCAGGCGGUUUGAAAAGUCAGCUGUGAAAGCC